UCUGGGGAAAUUGCCUCACAGCCCAUGGGUCUGUGCAAGGGUGUAAUCCUGGAUGCCGAUGACAUAGAGCAGCUGUUUGCAUGGAUCCCGCCCACUAUGUUGGUGCAAGCAUAAUGUGGAAGCGCGAGGGACUUAACAGCCCCUGGACAACUGCUGAGGAUUAGAAGACAUGAGGCCAUGGAGAGAUGACGUCCUUUCAGUGUCAGAGAAAACAGGUUCUAAUGGUGGGAUUCUGAAGACAGCUUGCUCACUGACCAGAAGAAAACAAGAACCCCUUCACUGGUGGACUGAAGGUCUGAAUUGACCUACAAGAUCUGCUUCCCAGAGCAAGAAAAUAUUCUCCAGCAGACAGCCAUGGAAUUCAUCUGAACAUCAGCUCUCCUGGCUCUCCAUCUGCUUUCCUUCAGACUGGAACUGCACCAUCGGUUUCCCUAGGUCUCAAGCCUGCUGGCCCACACUGUAGAUUUGGACUUUAAAGUCUCCACAAGCACUUGAACCAAUUCAGUAUAAUUCUCUUUUUGUAUAAGUGAUUCUGUUUCUCUGGAGAAUCCAACUAAUAGAAGGAUAGUAGAGUCCCACAAACUUAACCAAGAGAUUUGUCAAUUGUAUUGGUGCAGACUCUAUUUAAGGAGUUCCAGGGACACUCAAGGACAACAGAGAAGACCAAAAGUAGGGCACUAGAGUAAUUUGAAUCCUCUGACACUCACAGACAUAGAAAACAUUAAACACAGACCAGCUUCUAGCCAGACUAACAGAAAACCUCACACUAAAGGCCUAUUUCCUUCAGUCUCUAAUAUCUGAUACAUCACAUCUCGCUUAAAAAAAAUUACAAGGCAUGCUAAGAGGCAAACAAACAAAACAACACAGACUGAAAAGAUGAUGCAAGCAUCAGGACCAGACUCAGAUAUGACACAGACAUUCGAAUUAUCAGACAGGGAAUUUAAAAUAACUGUGGUUAAUAUAUAAGGGCUCUGAUGGUAAAAGUGGACAGAGUGAAAGAACAAAUAGAUAAAGUAAGUAGAUAAAUGGAAACUCUCAGAAUGAAUCAAAAGGAAAUACCAGACAUCAAAAACACUUUGACAGAAAUGAAGCUGAUCAGUAUACUGAACAAGCUGAGGAAAGAAUCAGUGACCAUGUCAAUAGAAACUUCCCAACUGAAAUGCAAAAAACAAACAAACAAAAACCCCUAACAGAAUAUCCAAGAAAUGUGGGAUAAUUUCAAAAGGUGUAACACACGUACAACCAGAAUACCAGAGGAGAUGAAAGACAAAAUGGAGCAGAAGAAAUAUUUGAAGUAUUAAGUCAAAGAGUUUCCAAAAUGAGUGUUAGACAUUAAACCACAUUCUCAGUGAAGAUCCAGAAUACUCUGAGAAGAACAAGUAUGAUAAAUACCCAAAAAUCUACACCUAGGCUUGUUCUACUCAACUGCAGAAAACAAAAAAUAAAACCUUGAAGAAAGAAAAUGAAGAAUCUCAUCUAUAGGGAACAAGGAUAAGAAUCACAUCAGACUUUUCGCCAGGAACCCCAUGAGCAAGAAGAGGGUAAGUGAAAUAUUUAAAGUGUUAAAAGGAGAAAAUCUCGAAUUCUAUAUCUAGUGAUAUUAUCCUUACUAACUGAAAGUGAAAUAAAGAUUUUCCUCAAACAAAGUUCUGGAAAUUUAUUGCCAGCAACCCUGGUCUGUAAGAAAUGUUAAAAGAAGAAAGAAUGUUAAAAUAAGAAGGAAGGAUCCAGCCCGGUGGUACAGAGGUUAAGUUCACAAGUUCUGCUUCUCAGCGGCCUGAGGUUUGCCAGUUUGGAUCCUGGGUGCGGACACGGCACCACUUGGCAAAAGCCAUGUUGUGGUAGGCAUCCUACGUAUAAAGUAGAGAAAGAUGGGCAUGGAUGUUAGCUCAGGGUCAGUUUUCCUCAGCAAAAAGAAGAGGAUUGCCAGUAGUUAGCUCAGGGCUUAAUCUUCCUAAAAAAAAAUAAGAGGGAAAAUAAUAUAGGACAGAAACUCAGACCUAAGUUAAGAAAGAAAGAGCAUCAAAAAAGGAAUAAAUGAAGGUGAAAUAAAAUGUUUAUUUUUCUUAUUCUUAGUUGAUCUAAUAGAUAACUGUUCAAAGUAAGAAUAGUAACAAUGUAUUGGGUGAUUAACACAUAGAGAUGAGUGAUAUGAAUGACAGAAAUAUUAUAAGGGAUAGGAGAGAAGAAUUGAAAAUACUAUGUUAUAAACUAUCUACACUACCUGUGAACAGUAUAUUGUUAUUUGAAAGUGG
Long non-coding RNA from Equus caballus (horse), 2255 nucleotides. NCBI's taxonomy places the organism in Eukaryota, Metazoa, Chordata, Mammalia, Perissodactyla, Equidae. The record is from Ensembl.